CCAGACUCCUACGGGAGGCAGCAGUGAGGAAUCUUCCACAAUGGGCGAAAGCCUGAUGGAGCAACGCCGCGUGCAGGAUGAAGGCCUUCGGGUUGUAAACUGCUUUUAUAAGUGAGGAAUAUGACAGUAACUUAUGAAUAAGGAUCGGCUAACUACGUGCCAGCAGCCGCGGUCAUACGUAGGAUCCGAGCGUUAUCCGGAGUGACUGGGCGUAAAGAGUUGCGUAGGUGGUUUAAUAAGCGAAUAGUGAAAUCUGGUGGCUCAACCAUUCAGACUAUUAUUCGAACUGUUAAACUCGAGAGCAGAAGAGGUAGCUGGAAUUUCUAGUGUAGGAGUGAAAUCCGUAGAUAUUAGAAGGAACACCGAUGGCGUAGGCAGGCUACUGGGCUGUUUCUGACACUGAGGCACGAAAGCGUGGGGAGCGAACCGGAUUAGAUACCCGGGUAGUCCACGCCGUAAACGAUGGAUACUAGCUGUUUGGGGUAUCGACCCCCUGAGUAGCGAAGCUAACGCGUUAAGUAUCCCGCCUGUGGAGUACGAUCGCAAGAUUAAAACAUAAAGGAAUUGACGGGGGCCCGCACAAG
RNAcentral lists this ribosomal RNA (584 nucleotides) under uncultured bacterium. RNAcentral's name for it is "bacterial SSU rRNA". It matches the Rfam family "Bacterial small subunit ribosomal RNA", at positions 331 to 929 of the family's 1533-position model. The record is from RNAcentral.